RNAcentral lists this ribosomal RNA (253 nucleotides) under uncultured bacterium. RNAcentral's name for it is "partial 16S ribosomal RNA". It matches the Rfam family "Bacterial small subunit ribosomal RNA", at positions 524 to 776 of the family's 1533-position model. The record is from RNAcentral.
UACGGAGAGUGCAAGCAUUAAUCGGAAUUAUUGGGCGUAAAGGGCGCGUAGGCGGGAGCGAAAGUCAGAUGUGAAAUUCCGAAGCUCAACUUCGGAGCUGCAUUUGAAACUGUGUUUCUAGAGGAUUGACGGAGAAAACGGAAUUCCACGUGUAGCGGUGAAAUGCGUAGAUAUGUGGAAGAACACCUGUGGCGAAAGCGGUUUUCUAGUUUAUACCUGACGCUGAGGCGCGAGAGCAAGGGGAGCAAACAGG